GUACCGGAUAUGACCGCAUGCCGCAUGGUGUGUGGUGGAAAGAUUUAUCGGUGCAGGAUGGGCCCGCGGCCUAUCAGCUUGUUGGUGGGGUAAUGGCCUACCAAGGCGACGACGGGUAGCCGACCUGAGAGGGUGACCGGCCACACUGGGACUGAGACACGGCCCAGACUCCUACGGGAGGCAGCAGUGGGGAAUAUUGCACAAUGGGCGGAAGCCUGAUGCAGCGACGCCGCGUGAGGGAUGAAGGCCUUCGGGUUGUAAACCUCUUUCAGCAGGGACGAAGCGUGAGUGACGGUACCUGCAGAAGAAGCACCGGCUAACUACGUGCCAGCAGCCGCGGUAAUACGUAGGGUGCGAGCGUUGUCCGGAAUUACUGGGCGUAAAGAGUUCGUAGGCGGUUUGUCGCGUCGUUUGUGAAAACCCGGGGCUCAACUUCGGGCUUGCAGGCGAUACGGGCAGACUUGAGUGUUUCAGGGGAGACUGGAAUUCCUGGUGUAGCGGUGAAAUGCGCAGAUAUCAGGAGGAACACCGGUGGCGAAGGCGGGUCUCUGGGAAACAACUGACGCUGAGGAACGAAAGCGUGGGUAGCAAAUGGGNUUA
This 600-nucleotide ribosomal RNA is filed under the name bacterium enrichment culture clone T44x_EXP-A04_T3-_E04. RNAcentral describes it as "bacterial SSU rRNA". It matches the Rfam family "Bacterial small subunit ribosomal RNA", at positions 166 to 780 of the family's 1533-position model. The record is from RNAcentral.